RNAcentral lists this small RNA (16 nucleotides) under Arabidopsis thaliana (thale cress). Its description in RNAcentral is "ATSL131270". Lineage: Eukaryota; Viridiplantae; Streptophyta; Magnoliopsida; Brassicales; Brassicaceae. The record is from RNAcentral.
UGUUUUACUCUGUUUU